Molecule: ribosomal RNA, 467 nt
Filed under: uncultured bacterium
Lineage: Bacteria
Description: partial 16S ribosomal RNA
Rfam family: Bacterial small subunit ribosomal RNA
Source: RNAcentral
ACGAACGCUGGCGGCGUGCUUAACACAUGCAAGUCGAACGGAAAGGCCCUGCUUUUGUGGGGUGCUCGAGUGGCGAACGGGUGAGUAACACGUGAGUAACCUGCCCUUGACUUUGGGAUAACUUCAGGAAACUGGGGCUAAUACCGGAUAGGAGCUCCUGCUGCAUGGUGGGGGUUGGAAAGUUUCGGCGGUUGGGGAUGGACUCGCGGCUUAUCAGCUUGUUGGUGGGGUAGUGGCUUACCAAGGCUUUGACGGGUAGCCGGCCUGAGAGGGUGACCGGCCUCAUUGGGACUGAGAUACGGCCCAGACUCCUACGGGAGGCAGAAGUGGGGAAUAUUGCACAAUGGGCGGAAGCCUGAUGCAGCAACGCCGCGUGCGGGAUGACGGCCUUCGGGUUGUAAACCGCUUUCGCCUGUGACGAAGCGUGAGUGACGGUAAUGGGUAAAGAAGCACCGGCUAACUACGUG